This 432-nucleotide ribosomal RNA is filed under the name Ophelina martinezarbizui. RNAcentral's name for it is "partial 16S ribosomal RNA". It matches the Rfam family "Bacterial large subunit ribosomal RNA", at positions 1953 to 2620 of the family's 2925-position model. The record is from RNAcentral. Lineage: Eukaryota; Metazoa; Annelida; Polychaeta; Opheliidae.
AAGGUAGCAUAAUCAUUUGCCCUUUAAUUGGGGGCUGGAAUGAAUGGAUAUACGAGAGAGCGGCUGUCUCUACCCCAGGCAUAAAAAUUAGCAUUCAGGUGAAGGGGCUUGAAUUAAAAUAAAGGACAAGAAGACCCUAUUGAGCUUUAUUUUUUAGGGUCAGAGUUUUCGGGCCGAUAAAAUUUGGUUGGGGCGACUGGGGAAUAUCCGUAACUUCCCUGUAUUUUAGGGCUCGCUGGCCUAUUUUGAUCUGAUGUUCAAUUUAGGGAAAAAGCUACCAUAGGGAUAACAGACUAAUCCUCCUAGAGAGUUCACAUUGAUAGGAGGGGUUGGCACCUCGAUGUUGGCUUAGGGCACCCCAUUGGUGUAGAAGCCAGUAAAGGUGGGUUUGUUCAACCCAUAAUGCCCUACGUGAUCUGAGUUCAGACCGGA